This 582-nucleotide long non-coding RNA is filed under the name Olea europaea subsp. europaea. The record is from RNAcentral. Lineage: Eukaryota; Viridiplantae; Streptophyta; Magnoliopsida; Lamiales; Oleaceae.
CAAUUUCAACAGUUUCUUCUACAGUUGGCUGCUCCUCCAUUCCAAUCGCCACGAUUAGUCCGUCUGUAAGACUGCAACUCAAGGCCCUGCAACCACUCCUAAAAUCUACCAGCGAUGGGCAAUGGCAGCAUCCUGUGGCGAUCUUGGGUUGGGGUCUUUUUCUAUUAUUGGACUCGUUGGUACUUGGUACUAUUUGGUAAGUCAUUUAUGAUUUAUCUUCCCCAAAUUCCAACCGACUGACGGCAAUAAUCAAGGCAUGAAUCCGAUUCUGAUGCUGUCAUUUUGCUUCCAUGCGUUCUGUAAGACUGUAUCAUCUAUCAAUUUGUUUUCUUGCAAUGUAUGAUAAUUGAUAUCCAAAAUCCGACCAACCGCAUAGUGGCAUUCUGCUUCUAUGCUUCAGCCUUUAGUUCAAUGCUUUUGUUAACUAUUAUCUAAUAUGUAUCAAUUUGUUUUCUUGCAAAGUUUUAGGUAUGAGAUUUAAAUUGAUUUCUUUGUCUAUUUGUUGAAUCUUGAUUCUUAAACUUGAAGACAUUGGACAUGUUUAAUUGAUUUCAAUUGGCGAAUGAAAUUCUUAAAUUCAUC